Molecule: long non-coding RNA, 153 nt
Organism: Bufo bufo (common toad)
Lineage: Eukaryota; Metazoa; Chordata; Amphibia; Anura; Bufonidae
Exons: 4
Source: RefSeq, a predicted model, not a curated record
AGGAAGAGUCAGAAGAAGAAAGUGAGGAGGAGAAAUAUCAGGCUCUCAUGUGGUGGUGGACGGUGGAGGGCUCCGAGCUGCCAGUAAGGAUAAGAACAGUGAAGAAAUUGGAGCCACCCUUUAAGAUGGACACUAUCAAGGAGGAAAUAGAAC